This 155-nucleotide ribosomal RNA is filed under the name Parnassia trinervis. RNAcentral describes it as "5.8S ribosomal RNA". It matches the Rfam family "5.8S ribosomal RNA". From Rfam's summary of the family: 5.8S ribosomal RNA (5.8S rRNA) is a component of the large subunit of the eukaryotic ribosome. It is transcribed by RNA polymerase I as part of the 45S precursor that also contains 18S and 28S rRNA. Functionally, it is thought that 5.8S rRNA may be involved in ribosome translocation. Lineage: Eukaryota; Viridiplantae; Streptophyta; Magnoliopsida; Celastrales; Celastraceae. The record is from RNAcentral. RNAcentral also lists the same sequence under 2 other names.
ACUCUCGGCAACGGAUAUCUUGGCUCUCGCAUCGAUGAAGAACGUAGCAAAAUGCGAUAGCUGGUGUGAAUUGCAGAAUCCCGUGAACCAUCGAGUCUUUGAACGCAAGUUGCGCCUGAAGCCGCCAGGCCAAGGGCACGCCUGCCUGGGUGUCA